CCUACGGGGGGCUGCAGUGGGGAAUAUUGGGCAAUGGAGGAAACUCUGACCCAGCAACGCCGCGUGAAUGAUGAAGGUCUUCGGAUUGUAAAGUUCUUUUCUAAGGGAAGAAGAAAGUGACGGUACCUGAUGAAUAAGCCACGGCUAACUACGUGCCAGCAGCCGCGGUAAUACGUAGGUGGCAAGCGUUAUCCGGAUUUACUGGGUGUAAAGGGCGUGUAGGCGGGAAAGCAAGUCAGAUGUGAAAACCAUGGGCUCAACCUGUGGCCUGCAUUUGAAACUGUUUUUCUUGAGUACUGGGGAGGCAGACGGAGUUCCUAGUGUAGCGGUGAAAUGCGUAGAUAUUAGGAGGAACACCAGUGGCGAAGGCGGUCUGCUGGACAGCAACUGACGCUGAGGCGCGAAAGCGUGGGGAGCAAACAGGAUUAGAUACCCCGGUAGUC
This 443-nucleotide ribosomal RNA is filed under the name uncultured bacterium. Its description in RNAcentral is "partial 16S ribosomal RNA". It matches the Rfam family "Bacterial small subunit ribosomal RNA", at positions 338 to 795 of the family's 1533-position model. The record is from RNAcentral.